RNAcentral lists this ribosomal RNA (397 nucleotides) under uncultured bacterium. Its description in RNAcentral is "partial 16S ribosomal RNA". It matches the Rfam family "Bacterial small subunit ribosomal RNA", at positions 359 to 774 of the family's 1533-position model. The record is from RNAcentral.
GAUAUUGGUCAAUGGGGGGAACCCUGAACCAGCGACACCGCGUGAGGGAAGAAGGUUUUCGGAUUGUAAACCUCUGUUGUCGGGGAAGAUAAUGACGGUACCUGAUGAGAAAGCCACGGCUAACUACGUGCCAGCAGCCGCGGUAAUACGUAGGUGGCAAGCGUUGUCCGGAUUUAUUGGGCGUAAAGCGCGCGCAAGCGGUCUUUUAAGUCUGAUGUGAAAUCUUACAGCUUAACUGUAAGCGGUCAUUGGAAACUGGGAGACUUGAGUGCAGAAGAGGAGAGUGGAAUUCCAUGUGUAGCGGUGAAAUGCGUAGAGAUAUGGAGGAACACCAGUGGCGAAGGCGACUACCUGGACGAAAACUGACGCUGAUGCACGAAAGCUAGGGGAGCAAACA